RNAcentral lists this ribosomal RNA (440 nucleotides) under uncultured bacterium. RNAcentral's name for it is "bacterial SSU rRNA". It matches the Rfam family "Bacterial small subunit ribosomal RNA", at positions 338 to 776 of the family's 1533-position model. The record is from RNAcentral.
CCUACGGGGGGCAGCAGUAGGGAAUAUUGGUCAAUGGGCGAGAGCCUGAACCAGCCAUGCCGCGUGCAGGAAGAAGGCGUUCUGCGUUGUAAACUGCUUUUAUCUGGGAAGAAAAAGCCCUUGCGAGGGAAAUUGCCGGUACCAGAUGAAUAAGCACCGGCUAACUCCGUGCCAGCAGCCGCGGUAAUACGGAGGGUGCAAGCGUUGUCCGGAUUUAUUGGGUUUAAAGGGUGCGUAGGCGGGUAAUUAAGUCAGUGGUGAAAGCCCACAGCUCAACUGUGGAGGUGCCAUUGAUACUGGUUAUCUUGAGUAUAGAUGAGGCAGGCGGAAUUUACGAUGUAGCGGUGAAAUGCAUAGAUAUCGUAAAGAACCCCGAUAGCGAAGGCAGCUUGCUAAGCUAUAACUGACGCUGAGGCACGAAAGCAUGGGGAGCGAACAGG